UAAUGUUCAAUUGGGAGGUUCAUCUCUCUGUCAGUUCUAUUCUUCUAGGAGCAAAUAUAACAAGUCUAAGUAGAUGAAGCUAGUAAUCCAAAAUGGAAAACGAGUUAAUAUCAUCUCUUUCAUUGUGUUGCAUAUUUUAUGCAUGUGAACAUUUUUCCUUUCUUUGUCUGUCUGCUUUAUUUAGUCAUCUUAUUGCCUAUUAGACCUCUAUUCAAUUGAUUAUAAUUUGUAAGAAUUAAUUAAGUGCUUGAAGCUAACUGUUGGGUCGUGAUAUUUCUCCUAUUGGGCCGAAUGGAUUGGGCCUACUUAUUCAGUUAGUCCAUUGGGUCUUCACUAUUGGGUGUUGACAUUAUUGGGCCUAGUCACUUUAUUAUCUUUGUUAAGUCCUUCUAGUAUCGGACCAAAUCAGUGGGUCGACCCAUCAUAUAUUUAAAUAUCUUCACUUGGGUUCUGAACCGGUGAUGAUGGCAAAGAUAAUGGCCGACUGAUAUCUUACAUGGCAUUAAUAAGGAUUGGACAGUUGGUCAGCGGUGGACAGAGGGGAUGGGAUUAACAGGUGUCAGGAGGGUCAGUGGCACGGUAAACCAGGUCCUGUAGUAUAUCAUAGCAAGGAAGUCUUCAAGCAAAAGGUACGUUCACAUAUACACACAACUGAGAAUAUUAUUAUCUCUCUCAAUACACUAGACAUUAUUAUCCUCCAUUGUUAACCUUGUGAAUACCGAUACUGAUUCUCACGCCUGAGCUAUCCCCCGACGGUCCAGCCGUCAAGCUUGUGGUGUUUAUCGUGUUUACUGUGCAGGAAUAGGACGUCUUACGUGAUUGGGAUGCGGCAAAAGUUCUUGGCGUUAACAUUGACACUAGAAGGAGGGCUGUUUUCUAGUGUUCUUGAGUUAUCAAUUACAAUAUUUUCAGUUAUUCUACAUCGGAAGUUAUGACACAAAUCAGGGGGUUCUCGUUCGAGAGCCCACGGCGAAGCCCGAAGAUGGUUGGUCUUUGCUGCUGACAAGGAGCAUGAUCAUGACUGAAAGCAAGUAAAAGGCACCCCGCCUAGAACUCGGCACCGAAGUGGUCAGACUGACAUACCGAUCAAGUUAGAAAGAAGUCUACACUUUAAAGACAUGUCUCGAGGCCGUCCUCGGGAUCGAAGCAGACCCAACAGCCAUUUUCCUGAUUGACCGAAGAGGGUAUUCCGCCCUAUUGGUCUUCGGGAUUAUAGUCGAAGCAGAGUAGAUGAAGACCCAACAGCCAUUUUUCUGAUUGACCGAAGAGGGUACUCCGCCCUAUUGGUCUUCGGGAUUAUGGUCAAAGCAGAGUAGAUGAAGACCCAACAAUCAUUUUCCUGAUUAACCGAAUAGGGUACUCCGCCCUAUUGGUCCUCGGGAUUAUGGUCGAAGCAGAGUAGAUGAAGACCCAACAGCCAUUUUUCUGAUUGACCGAAUAGGGUACUCCGCCCUAUUGGUCCUCGGGAUUAUGGUCGAAGCAGAGUAGAUGAAGACCCAACAGCCAUUUUCCUGAUUGAUCGAAGAGGGUAUUCCGUCGUAUUGGUCUUCGAGAUUAUGGUCGAAGCAAAGUAGAUGAAGACCCAACAACCAUUUUUUUGAUUGAUCGAAGAAAGGUAUUCCACCCUAUUGGUUUUCGGGAUUAUGGUCCAAGCAGACCCAGAAGCCGCACUCCUGAGAAUCCACUGAGGGCACACCGCCCUGUGGAUACUUGUCUUCGGGGAAAUCUAUCUAAAGUUGCAGCUUCAGAUGAAAAGCAGCUGAGUCCGACAAAGCCGUUGCAGUACUUCAGCAGAAGCAGAGCUCGUGGACAUUGCAUGCAGAUGGAUAUUCUAUUUCGGACGUCAGUACAGCAGGCUAUCAAGGGGUCGAUCACAAUAACAAUUCCAUUGCUGAUGCAUUAUUGAAGUUGGCUACUACGGAUGCUUAUAACUUUGAUGGCAUAUGACGUCCUUCCUUCAGAUCAGAUGCCGGCUAAAGAAGAUCAAGUAUAAGAGUGUCAAUUUUGUUCUCAUUAAUGAAAAUCUUUUUCGAAGGUCCUUUUUCGUCACCAUUGCUCAAAUAUUUGGUUCCGUCCGAAGCAGAGUAUGUUCUUCGAGAAGUUCACAAAGACAUCUGUGGCGAUCAUUUGGCUGCAAAGUUAUUGGCCUACAAAAUACUUCGGCAGAGAUAUUCUUGAAAGAACUGGAAAUUCAGCACAGAAAGACUUCGGUGGCUCAUCCACGCUCAUUUUUUCACAAUUGAUCUUCCUAUUGGUCCUAAGUUCACAAUGGUGUAAAGAGGUAUGGUCGGACUCGCUGGCCAUUCGAUGGUAGCCCACUUAUUUGUUACCCCGUGUGGUAGACAAAUCCUAUGUUCCUUUAUAUUGCUUUUACCGAGGGCGGUAAAUCAAUAGUCACCGAAGUAAGGAGGACGGGGUGGACUCGUUGACCAUUCGAUGGCAGCCUCUUCGGCAGGAGUGUUCUUAUGGUUUUGUUAUACCCUGCGUGGUAGACAAAUUCCAUGAUCCUCUUAAUUUUGAUUUACCGCGAGUGGUAAACAAAAUGCACUGGAGUAAGGAGGUAUGGUCGGACUCGCUGACCAUUCGAUGACAGCCUUAUUGUCAGGAGUGUCCUUAUGAAUUUGUGACCCCGUGUGGUAGAUAAAUUCCAUGGUCCUUAUAUCUUAGUCCUUAUAUAAUUGUUCUACCCCGAGUGGUAAACAAAGUUCCUUAUAUACUUGUUUUACCCCGAGCGGUAAGCAAGAUCUUGUUGUUGCAAAGAGGAUCAGCCGAAUUUACCUUAUACAUGACCUGUCUCACACUUCGGUAACGAUAAGUAUGCAUUACUUUAUUUUGUUCAAGUGCUGAGUUCAGAUUAUCUCAUUAUUAUUCUUAACUGUUAUAUCAUUUGCUUGAUUAUUGACUAACAGUUUAAGUUAAGAAGCACUUGUAUAGUUUUCAAGUUGAUUGAUGAUCAAUUACUGACAAGAAAUGUUCACCCAGAAGUAAUAAGGCAUGAAGUUGAUAUUUCAUUAAUAUUAACUGUUCACAAGAGUUUAGAAUUUUUACAGAAAGUUCUACAGUUAAAGGUAAAGGGAUGGUCAUCUUCAGGUUUAUUCAUCGUCAUCAUCACCAUCUGAAGAGUCUAGAAGAGAUGGAUCUACCUCGGCCGCGACAAAGCUUUUUCUUGUCUUUACUUCGGCAGAUUUCAUAUCCUUUGGCAUACAUAUGGACGAUCUUAUUGUUCAGCUCGGCGGAUUUUCUGUAUUCUGCCUGGAUCUCCUUACGAAAGUCUUCGGUCAGUGGCGGACCCAAAUCUCUAAGGGCCCGAAGCUCUUUGAGCUCUUCUUCAAGCUUUUGACGAUGUGCUAGAUAUCUUGUUUCUUUAGCAUGGAUAUUGUUAUUUUGCUUCGCCAAGCUCUUAUUGGACUCGGUCAGAUCUUCAUUCUUCUUCGUCAUUGUGAUGACCCGAUGAGUGGCCUUGGUCGUUUUUAGUUCUUCUUUGAUCUUGUCGAUAUCCUUCCGAAGGCAUUCAUUGUUGAAGAGAGCAAUAUCAAGAUUGAUUCUUUCUUUCGCCAACACAGACUUCCGGAUGGCGUUAUCCCUUCGGGCGGUAUUCUCUUCGGCUUUCUCUUCGGCAUUCUCUUCGGUAUCCUUUUCGGCUUCUUUGUAUUUGAGACGGAGGCACACGAAUUAGCGUUUGCCUGCAGAUGACCAUUAUUAGUCAAUCAUUUCAAAUUGAUGGGCAGCGAAGUGAAUGAAUAAAUCAAAACUGUCGAAUUCCUUUAGUCCGGUAUUUCAUUCCUUCGUCCAUCAGGUCCGUGAUGGAAUUAUUGCCGAACCGGAAUUUCAUUCUAUGGCUUGAGCUUCGGUAGUUGAAAGCUCUUCAAUUGGUACUUCUGUAAAGGUCAGCGAAGAUGAACCCUUUAUGUUGCUAUCAGAUGGACUUCGGUAAACCAUAUUUUGGGCCUUUAUUAGUCUUAUUAUAAUUCCUUUUGUCCUGAACCGAUGUCAUUUAUAGUUUUCUAUUAAACCUCUGUUUAAUAAAAAAUUAGGGGGCAAUGUUGGGUCGUGAUAUUUCUCCUAUUGGGCCGAAUGGAUAUUGGGCCUACUUAUUCAGUUAGUCCAUUGGGUCUUCACUAUUGGGUGUUGACAUAUUGGGCCUAGUCACUUUAUUAUCUUUGUUAAGUCCUUCUAGUAUCGGACCAAAUCAGUGGGUCGACCCAUCAUAUAUUUAAAUAUCUUCACUUAGGUUCUGAACCGGUGAUGAUGACAAAGAUAUGGCUGACUGAUAUCUUACAUGGCAUUAAUAAGGAUUGGACAGUUGGCCAACGGUGGACAGAGGGGAUGGGAUUAACAGGUGUCAGGAGGGUCAGUGGCACGGUAAAUCAGGUCCUGUAGUAUAUCAUAGCAAGAAAGUCUUCAAGCAAAAGGUACGUUCACAUAUACACACAACUGAGAAUAUUAUUAUCUCUCUCAAUACACUAGACAUUAUUAUCCUCCAUUGUUAACCUUGUGAACACCAAUACUGAUUCUCACGCCUGAGCUAUCCCCCGAUGGUCCAGCCGUCAAGCUUGUGGUGUUUAUCGUGUUUAUUGUGCAG
This 4582-nucleotide long non-coding RNA is filed under the name Panax ginseng (ginseng). RNAcentral's name for it is "long non-coding RNA (PGIN_LNC002329)". Lineage: Eukaryota; Viridiplantae; Streptophyta; Magnoliopsida; Apiales; Araliaceae. The record is from RNAcentral.